RNAcentral lists this ribosomal RNA (465 nucleotides) under Vreelandella stevensii. RNAcentral's name for it is "partial 16S ribosomal RNA". It matches the Rfam family "Bacterial small subunit ribosomal RNA", at positions 338 to 795 of the family's 1533-position model. Lineage: Bacteria; Pseudomonadati; Pseudomonadota; Gammaproteobacteria; Oceanospirillales; Halomonadaceae. The record is from RNAcentral.
CCUACGGGUGGCAGCAGUGGGGAAUAUUGGACAAUGGGCGAAAGCCUGAUCCAGCCAUGCCGCGUGUGUGAAGAAGGCCUUCGGGUUGUAAAGCACUUUCAGUGGGGAAGAAAGCCUUGGGGCUAAUACCCUCGAGGAAGGACAUCACCCACAGAAGAAGCACCGGCUAACUCCGUGCCAGCAGCCGCGGUAAUACGGAGGGUGCGAGCGUUAAUCGGAAUUACUGGGCGUAAAGCGCGCGUAGGCGGUCUGAUAAGCCGGUUGUGAAAGCCCCGGGCUCAACCUGGGAACGGCAUCCGGAACUGUCAGGCUAGAGUGCAGGAGAGGAAGGUAGAAUUCCCGGUGUAGCGGUGAAAUGCGUAGAGAUCGGGAGAAAUACCAGUGGCGAAGGCGGCCUUCUGGACUGACACUGACGCUGAGGUGCGAAAGCGUGGGUAGCAAACAGGAUUAGAUACCCGAGUAGUC